RNAcentral lists this long non-coding RNA (6081 nucleotides) under Homo sapiens (human). RNAcentral's name for it is "non-protein coding lnc-IRGC-5:1". Lineage: Eukaryota; Metazoa; Chordata; Mammalia; Primates; Hominidae. The record is from RNAcentral.
GGGGAUCUCCCAGAACCUCACUAUUUGCAAAUAUUUGGGGAGACUCUCCCGAUUCCUGAGUAUGUAAGCCCACUUCGUGGGGCACUCCCCAGCCCAGAACUGUAGUCGAUUUGCACAUUUUCCUAAGGACUCCCUAGGAUUUAAACUUCUCUCUACGGGGUUCUAGAAGGGAGCCUCCCCCGGAUUUAGGCAUUGCUUUACAAAGCUUCCCUCGGGGAACCCAACUCAAGUUUCUCGUUACACGUUAUUGGGGCGGCCUCCCCAGUACUUGACGGGCAGUUUGCAGGCUGUACUUGGAUCUCGCAGAGCAUAAGUUUCUCAUUUACACGUUAUUUCCGUCCCCCGCCCCCAUUCCUGCCAACCCAGUAUCGAAUUGACGGUCGCCGGCCCCCUACUCAGUGCCGCACCCCCGCCGGACGUCCCAGCGACCUUUCAAUGGCCAAGGCGGGGGCGGGGCCUGCCGGAGCGCCCCGCCCGCCGCCGGUGCGCUAGCCUCGCGCGGGCUCGCGGCCCCCUUACCUAACGCGGCUGCUGAUUGGUUCUCGGGGCGCGGUGUGCGCUCUCCCGUGACGGGAGUCGGGUGGGGGCGGGGAGGCUGACCCAAGCCACCCGCCUGCAAAUGGCGUCUGGGGGCCAGGAACGUGGGAAGGAGAGAAAAUGGGCACUCCCCACUCCGAAACCGGCCUCGGCGUCCGGGUUGCAGCCCCUAAGGAAAGCUGGGCCGAAGGAAGAAGAGGAGGAGGAUGUAACGCGGGCCCGAGCUGAGAUCAGUUCCCUCAGGCGACUCGUCCUGCGCAUGCGCUGAGGGCUGGAGCUCGAGAACUGAAUGCGCUCGCCGGGCUGAGCGUGCGUGGAUGGAGGCGGUCGGCUUCAGCACGCAUGCGGGUUCCGGAGCGGGAGGCGGGAGGACGCCGCGGCUCUGACUCAAUGCGCGUGCGCGCGGUUGGGGGGUUGAGGGUGGGGAGAUGAGUAGGGAAAUGGAUACGCCGAGGAGCCGGCAGGAGGGAGAGCGGCCCGGAUCUGGGGUUCGAGUUGUGCCUCUUCGGUGAUGUUGGCGGGAUGCAGUGGGGUGGGACGACAGGGAGGAAUUUCACUGUUCUGGGCUGAGUGCCAAGAACACAUGAAUGAAUCAGACUUGGCGUGCGCCCUGGAAGACACCCCGGCCUGUGGAGAGACUGCCAGGGCCUCAAAUCACUUAGGAAAGGGCGCGGGUCCGGUUGGACCUUGAAGGACAGGCAGGCGAGGGUACUCCAGGGAACAGCUAAGCAAAGGCGGCGAAGACCCCGGGGGAAGAGGUCUAGACUGGCUUGGAUUCAGGGUCCACCUGGGUGGGAGGUGAGGCAGCAGAAUGGGCAGGUCAGACCCUGAAGGGUCUCCAGUGUCAGUUUUAUCCUUAAGGCCUGGGAGAUGCAGAAUAGUCUGAGACAGAACUAUGUUUAAAACCCUCGAAGGCCGCGUUGGAGAAGGGAAUCCGCUCCAGGGUCGAAAAUUUAAACACACGUGGGCGGAGUCUUGCGCGCGCCAAAGAGGAACAUUGGGCGACGGGCGCGGCCUGGAGAGCGCAUGCGCAUUCGGAAGGGUCGGCAGUUCCCCAGUGGGCAGAGUGGGUGGAUGGGAAGGUUCUAGCUUUUUAUUUGAAAUUUUAUUUAUUUUUAUUUUAUUUAUUUAUUUAGAGACGGAGUCUCGCCCUGUCACCCAGGCUGGCGUGCAGUGGCGAGAUCUCGGAUCACUGCCGUCUCCACCUCCUGAAAUUCAAGCGAUUCUCCUGCCUCAGCCUCCCAAAUAGCUGGGAUUACAGGCGUCCACCACGCCUGGCUAAUUUUUUGUAUUUUUAGUAGAGACUGGGUUUUGCCAUGUUGGCCAGGCUGGUCUCGAACUCCUGACCUCAAGUGAUCCGCCCGCCUCGGCCUCCUAAAGUGCUAGGAUGACAGGCGUGAGCCACCGUGGCUGGUCUAAAAAAAAGUUUUUUAAAAUUAUAUUUGAACAGGUAUUACAUGUACAUACACAAUUCAAACCUCUCUGGCUGUAUACAAUAAAAGUAAGUUUCCACCUCUGGUUCCCAUUUUCCUUUCCUAAAGCACUGGUUCCCGGUUUCCUUCUGGAGCUGCUGUUAUAAUAAAGCAUUGGAGUUAAGAGCAUGUGUUGAGUUCAUAUAAAUAGCGGCUGAGCUUGACCAAGUGACUUAAUACUCUCUACUUCUACGUCCCUGUUUGUGAAUUGGGUGUGGUAUAACCUUACUUACAACAUUGCCGCCAGCAUUAAAUGGGUGAGAGUGCAUAGAACAGUGCCUGUUGCCUAAUGGUACUGUGUGUUGUCUCUGUGUAUUAUUUUGUGGUCUACCAUGCUGAUAGUUGUAGAUUCUGAGCAGCCCUCUCCCCUCCAGGCCUCAUCCCUACUGUCAUUGUCCCAGUACCAGUACCAGGUGGAGCCACCUCUCCAGGCUGCCACAGGUAGAAACACCAGUCACCCAGAAUGACUUGAGUCCACUGUUGAUGGAUUCUGGGGAAAGAUUCUGGGUGUUUGAUAAAGAUACACAUGACAGGCCAUCUCUGUAUUAUGUCUAUCAGUGUCCAAUUUUACUUCUUCAGCUCAGGCCAUAUCUGAAUUUCUCAACCCCAGAUCACUCACGAUUGCCAGUUUCACGUCAGGGCAACCCUCAGAGGUAGAAUUUUCUUAAAAGAGGGAAAGAGGAGGCCUGGCAUUGACCUUGGACCCACUGUGUACCAGGCUGUGUGCUCUCUGCUUUAUAUACAUCACUAUAAUCUUCUCCCCUAAUUUGUUUAACAGAUGUUGGUCCGCGCAGUGACUCACGCUUGUAAUCUCAGCACUUUGGGAGGCCGAGGCAGGCAGAUCACCUGAGGUCAGGAGUUCAAGACCAGCCUGGCCAACAUAGCGAAACCCCAUCUCUACUAAAAGUACAAAAAUUAGCCGGGUGUGGUGGCAUGCGCCUGUAAUGCCAGCUGCUCGGGAGGCCGAGGCACGAGAAUCACUUGAACCCAGGAGGUGGAGGUUGCAGUGAGCUGAUAUCGCACCACUGCACUCCAGCCUGGGUGACAGAGUAAGGCUCUGUCUCAAAAAAAAAAAAAAAAAAAAAAAAAAACAGAUGUAGACAAAUGAGCCUGGAAGAGAGAAGGGCCUUACCGAAGUCCCCAUAGGCAGGAAGCAGCAGGGCCUGGAUUCAAACCCGGGCCUGGAUUCAAACCCAAGCCUGUCUCACUCCAGAGCAAGCCUACACUUUUUCCCUGGCACCGGGGAGCCAGCCUGGUGAUGAGUCAGCAGUACAGUCAGGCACCCAGUGAGCUGCCUUUUGUAUUAGUGGCAUGGUAUGCUGUUCUGGAGAUAUAUCAUACUUUAACACUUUCUCUGUUGAUGAGCAUUUAGACUGUUGCUGAACUUCUGCUCUUACAAACAUUUACUGCAGGGGUUUGUGUGUAUGUUUCUGUUUUCUAAUUUUUUCUUUUUCAGACAUGUUCUUGCUGUCUCGCCCAGGCUGGAGUCAUGUAAUACAGUUGUGGCUCACUGCAGCCUCAACCUCCUGGGCUUAAGCAAUCCUCCCACCUCAGCCUGAGGAGUAGCUGGGACCACAGGCAUGUGCUACCACACCCAGCUAAUUUUCUAUUUUUUGUAGAGACGGGGUUUCACUAUGUUGCCCAGGCUGUCUCAAACUCCUGGCUCAAGCAGUCCUCCUGCCUCAGCCUCCCAAAGUGCUGAGAUUAUGCUACAGUUAAUAUCCUGGUACACGUGGCUGCAUGUAUAUGUUAGUAUUGUCAGUAGACUAUCUCAUUUGAAGUGCAAGUAGAAUUGCUGGGUCAAAGGGUAUGCACAUUGGGAAUUUUGAGAGCCAUUGCCAAAUGAUCUGUUCAUGUCUUUAUUUUUUGUUUUUGAGACAGGGUCUCCCUCUGUCACCCAGGCUGGAGUACAGUGGCAUGAUCAUAGCUCACUGCAGCCUCAGCUUCCCAGGUUCAAGCAAUUCUCCUGUCUCAGCCUCCCGAGUAGCUGAGACUACAGGCAUGUGCCACCACACCCGGCUAAUUUUUGUAUUUCUUGUAGAGACAGAGUUUCACCAUGUUGCCGAGGCUGGCCUCAAUCAAUCCUUCCACCUCAGCUUCCCAAAGUGCUGGGACUACAGGUGUGAGCCACUGCGCCUGGCCCUGUUCAUCUCUUUUUCACUUUUUGUUCAUUUCUUUCAUUUAUAUGUUGAAUGAAUUAUGGAACUCUAGUCAUCUGCCAGGCACAGCUGUAGGCUGGAGAUCCUGUAAUGAAUAGGAAAAGCACCUGCCCUUUGGGAGCAGAUAUUCUAGUGGGGCAGAUGACAUCAGAUAAAGGAUGCUUGGAAGAAAAGAAAAUCGGGGGUGAGGAUUGGGAAGACAUUGCAAAGGAUACAAAAUUUCAUUUAGACAGGAGGAAUAAAUUCAAGAGAUCCAGUCCACAACAUGGUAACUAUAGUUAGUAACAAUGUAUACUUGAAAAUUGCUAAGAGGAUAAAUUUUCAGUGUCCUCACCACAAAAAUGAUAAAUAUGUGAAAUAAUGCAUAUGUUAAUUAGCUUGAUUUAGCCAUUGUACAAUGUAUAAAUAUACAAAACAUGUUGUACACCAUAAAUAUAUACAAUUUUUAUUUUUCAAUUAAAAAUAAAGUCAGGUGCCGGGCGCAGUGGCUCACGCCUGUAAUCCCAGCACUUUGGGAGGCCGAGGCGGGCAGAUCAUAAGGUCAGGAGAUCGAGACCAUCCUGGCUAACAUGGUGAAACCCCGUCUCUACUAAAAAUACAAAAAAUUAGCCAAGCGUGGUGGCGGGCGCCUGUAGUCCCAGCUACUCCGGAGGCUGAGGCAGGAGAAUGACAUGAACCUGGGAGGCGGAGCUUGCAGUGAGCCAAGAUCGCACCACUGCACUCCAGCCUGGGCAACAGAGCGAGACUCUGUCUCAAAAAAAAAAAAAAAAGUCAGGUUACAGGAAUUGACAGUGAUAGAGGUCACAGAGAGUGACAGGUGGCCAGGGAAGGCCGCUUUGAGGGGAUGACAUUUGAUCAGAGGCCUGAAUGCAGUUAAGGAAGGUCAGGAAAUGAGCCAUCUAAAGAUGCUGAAGAACGGCCAGUAAAAGACCCCAAAGUGGGAGUGGGCCUGGCUGUCCAAGGAUGGUCAAGGUGGCCAGAGUGGCUGAAACAGAGCAAGGGAGGGAAAGAAGGGCAGGAUUAUUUAGAGACGGAGCUGUAGACAGGGCCAGUUUACAUAAAGUCUUACAGGCCAUGGUAAGCAUUUGGAAUUUACUUCCAAAUGUAACAAAGCCAUUGCAGGGCUACAAACAAGCACCGGCUUGUUCCAAUUAAUGUUUACAAAGACUUCUCCAGUGAACAACAAAAAUUAACAGUGAUUGCCUAUAGGGAUGAGGGUUAUAGACAGAUGUGGGUCAGGGCUAUGGGAACUUAAAAAGCGUUGUUGUUUUUUUAAACCACGUAAUUAUUAGCUAUGCGCAAAAAUGUUCAGUGAAAACAGUGCUGGUUGCUGUGAGGAGAAUGGCCUGCAGGGGCGGAAGCAGGAGAUGAGAAAGCUGGUGUCCUUGCCUGGGCAAGAAAGGAUAGUGGUUCUGGAAGAGGGUGGUGCUAAUAGAUGAGUUGAGAAGGGUCAGGAACUGGGAUCUUUUUUGAAGGUAGCGCCAAGAAAUUAAACAUGGGGUGUGAGAGGAAGCAUGAAUCAGGGGUGACUUGAAAGUCAUCCUAGAGAUCUGUUGUACAACAGGGUGACUCUCAUUCAUAACAAUGUGUUAUAUGCUUGAAACUUACUAAAAUAAUAGAUUUUAAGUUUUCUCACACCACAAAAAAAUAAGUAUGUGAAAUAAUGCAUAUGUUAAUUAGCUUGAUUUAGCCAUUCCACAAUGUGUACAUAUAUUAAAACAUCAUGUUAUUUGCAGCAUUAAAAAAAGUUCUAGCGGGGAGGGGGGAGGGAUAGCAUUAGGAGAUAUACCUAAUGCUAAAUGACGAGUUAAUGGGUGCAGCACACCAGCAUGGCACAUGUAUACAUAUGUAACAAACCUGCACAUUGUGCACAUGUACCCUAAAACUUAAAGUAUAAUAAUAAUUAAAAAAAA